GAGGGUAUAGCUCAAGUGGUAGAGCUCAUGCUUAGCAUGCACAAGGUCCUGGGUUCAAUCCCCAGUACCUCCU
This 73-nucleotide transfer RNA is filed under the name Camelus bactrianus (Bactrian camel). It matches the Rfam family "tRNA". From Rfam's summary of the family: Transfer RNA (tRNA) molecules are approximately 80 nucleotides in length. Their secondary structure includes four short double-helical elements and three loops (D, anti-codon, and T loops). The record is from Rfam by way of RNAcentral. Lineage: Eukaryota; Metazoa; Chordata; Mammalia; Artiodactyla; Camelidae. RNAcentral also lists the same sequence under 3 other names.